This 21-nucleotide non-coding RNA is filed under the name Arabidopsis thaliana (thale cress). The record is from RNAcentral. Lineage: Eukaryota; Viridiplantae; Streptophyta; Magnoliopsida; Brassicales; Brassicaceae.
CACACAACCAUAAUUGUAUUC